AAUCGGGGCAGGGUGAGUCGACCCCUAAGGCGAGGCCGAAAGGCGUAGUCGAUGGGAAACAGGUUAAUAUUCCUGUACUUGGUGUUACUGCGAAGGGGGGACGGAGAAGGCUAUGUUGGCCGGGCGACGGUUGUCCCGGUUUAAGCGUGUAGGCUGGUUUUCCAGGCAAAUCCGGAAAAUCAAGGCUGAGGCGUGAUGACGAGGCACUACGGUGCUGAAGCAACAAAUGCCCUGCUUCCAGGAAAAGCCUCUAAGCAUCAGGUAACAUCAAAUCGUACCCCAAACCGACACAGGUGGUCAGGUAGAGAAUACCAAGGCGCUUGAGAGAACUCGGGUGAAGGAACUAGGCAAAAUGGUGCCGUAACUUCGGGAGAAGGCACGCUGAUAUGUAGGUGAAGCGACUUGCUCGUGGAGCUGAAAUCAGUCGAAGAUACCAGCUGGCUGCAACUGUUUAUUAAAAACACAGCACUGUGCAAACACGAAAGUGGACGUAUACGGUGUGACGCCUGCCCGGUGCCGGAAGGUUAAUUGAUGGGGUUAGCGGUAACGCGAAGCUCUUGAUCGAAGCCCCGGUAAACGGCGGCCGUAACUAUAACGGUCCUAAGGUAGCGAAAUUCCUUGUCGGGUAAGUUCCGACCUGCACGAAUGGCGUAAUGAUGGCCAGGCUGUCUCCACCCGAGACUCAGUGAAAUUGAACUCGCUGUGAAGAUGCAGUGUACCCGCGGCAAGACGGAAAGACCCCGUGAACCUUUACUAUAGCUUGACACUGAACAUUGAGCCUUGAUGUGUAGGAUAGGUGGGAGGCUUAGAAGUGUGGACGCCAGUCUGCAUGGAGCCGACCUUGAAAUACCACCCUUUAAUGUUUGAUGUUCUAACGUUGGCCCCUGAUCGGGGUUGCGGACAGUGUCUGGUGGGUAGUUUGACUGGGGCGGUCUCCUCCUAAAGAGUAACGGAGGAGCACGAAGGUUGGCUAAUCCUGGUCGGACAUCAGGAGGUUAGUGCAAUGGCAUAAGCCAGCUUGACUGCGAGCGUGACGGCGCGAGCAGGUGCGAAAGCAGGUCAUAGUGAUCCGGUGGUUCUGAAUGGAAGGGCCAUCGCUCAACGGAUAAAAGGUACUCCGGGGAUAACAGGCUGAUACCGCCCAAGAGUUCAUAUCGACGGCGGUGUUUGGCACCUCGAUGUCGGCUCAUCACAUCCUGGGGCUGAAGUAGGUCCCAAGGGUAUGGCUGUUCGCCAUUUAAAGUGGUACGCGAGCUGGGUUUAGAACGUCGUGAGACAGUUCGGUCCCUAUCUGCCGUGGGCGCUGGAGAACUGAGGGGGGCUGCUCCUAGUACGAGAGGACCGGAGUGGACGCAUCACUGGUGUUCGGGUUGUCAUGCCAAUGGCACUGCCCGGUAGCUAAAUGCGGAAGAGAUAAGUGCUGAAAGCAUCUAAGCACGAAACUUGCCCCGAGAUGAGUUCUCCCUGACUCCUUGAGAGUCCUGAAGGAACGUUGAAGACGACGACGUUGAUAGGCCGGGUGUGUAAGCGCAGCGAUGCGUUGAGCUAACCGGUACUAAUGAACCGUGAGG
Molecule: ribosomal RNA, 1571 nt
Filed under: Escherichia coli
Lineage: Bacteria; Pseudomonadati; Pseudomonadota; Gammaproteobacteria; Enterobacterales; Enterobacteriaceae
Description: partial 23S ribosomal RNA
Rfam family: Bacterial large subunit ribosomal RNA
Source: RNAcentral